Molecule: ribosomal RNA, 469 nt
Filed under: uncultured bacterium
Lineage: Bacteria
Description: bacterial SSU rRNA
Rfam family: Bacterial small subunit ribosomal RNA
Source: RNAcentral
UAACCAGACUCCUACGGGAGGCAGCAGUGAGGAAUAUUGGUCAAUGGGCGCAAGCCUGAACCAGCCAAGUCACGUGAGGGAAGACGGCCCUACGGGUUGUAAACCUCUUUUGCCGGGGAGCAAGCCUGAGCACGUGUGCCCAGGCGGAGAGUACCCGGAGAAAAAGCAUCGGCUAACUCCGUGCCAGCAGCCGCGGUAAUACGGAGGAUGCGAGCGUUAUCCGGAUUUAUUGGGUUUAAAGGGUGCGCAGGCGGGCUGUUAAGCCGGCGGUAAAAAUUCAGGGCUCAACCCUGUCGAGCCGUCGGAACUGGCAGUCUUGAGUGGGCGAGAAGUAUGCGGAAUGCGUGGUGUAGCGGUGAAAUGCUUAGAUAUCACGAAGAACCCCGAUUGCGAAGGCAGCUUACUAAACUGUGACUGACAUUGAUGCUCGAAAGUGUGGGUAUCAAACAGGAUUAGAUACCCUAGUACA